This 253-nucleotide ribosomal RNA is filed under the name uncultured bacterium. RNAcentral's name for it is "partial 16S ribosomal RNA". It matches the Rfam family "Bacterial small subunit ribosomal RNA", at positions 524 to 776 of the family's 1533-position model. The record is from RNAcentral.
UACGAGGGGGGCAACUGUUGUUCGGAAUCACUGGGCGUAAAGGGUGCGUAGGCGGGUUUUUAAGUCAGGUGUUUAAUCCCGGGGCCCAACCCCGGACAGGCACUUGAAACUGGGAAUCUUGAAUAGGGGAGAGGUCAGUGGAAUUGGAGGUGUAGCGGUGGAAUGCGUAGAGAUCUCCAAGAACACCAGUUGCGAAGGCGGCUGACUGGACCCAUAUUGACGCUGAGGCUCGAAAGCAUGGGGAGCAAACAGG